This 622-nucleotide ribosomal RNA is filed under the name uncultured bacterium. RNAcentral describes it as "bacterial SSU rRNA". It matches the Rfam family "Bacterial small subunit ribosomal RNA", at positions 51 to 647 of the family's 1533-position model. The record is from RNAcentral.
ACACAUGCAAGUCGAGCGAGAAAGGGAGCUUCGGUUCCCAAGUAAAGCGGCGGACGGGUGAGUAACACGUGGGUAAUCUGCCCUCGGGUGGGGAAUAACUCAGGGAAACCUGGGCUAAUUCCGCAUGAUAUUCCCGAUACUCAAGUAUUGGAAAUCAAAGCUGGGGACCCUUCGGGGCCUGGCGCCUGAGGAGGAGCCCGCGGCCAAUUAGCUUGUUGGUGGGGUAAUGGCCCACCAAGGCUUCGAUUGGUAGCCGGCCUGAGAGGGCGGACGGUCACACUGGGACUGAGACACGGCCCAGACUCCUACGGGAGGCAGCAGUGGGGAAUUUUUGUCAAUGGGGGAAACCCUGAACAAGCAACGCCGCGUGGAGGACGAAGACCCUCGGGUUGUAAACUCCUGUCGGAGGGGACGAAAGUGCAGGUGGUUAAUACCCAUCAGUAUUGACGGUACCCUACGAGGAAGCCCCGGCUAACUCCGUGCCAGCAGCCGCGGUAAUACGGGGGGGGCAAGCGUUGUUCGGAAUUACUGGGCGUAAAGGGCGCGUAGGCGGACCAGACAGUCUCUCGUGAAAUCCCACGGCUCAACCGUGGAACUGCGGGAGAUACUACUGGUCUUGAGU